AUACAUAGCAUUUGCUUUGACAGUGAUGCAUUGUAAAUUUGAACCAGUUCAUUGAAUGGUGAAGAAAUUUAGUGUUGCGUAGUGGUAUUGUGGUCGUACUGGUCCCCCAUGUGAUUCUUAUUGAUUUUCAAACGUCGCUCCCGAACAGCUGUUUUUGGGAUGCGGAAGAGACUCGUCGCCUCCUCUGAACAACGAUAUCUGCCACAUGGCAACGGAAUUAUACCGAAAUAUUCCUUUCGAAUAAGAACAAUCAUGCCAUAAUAUUAAAUUCGUUCAUUAACUUUAAAAAAAAAAGCGUACGAUUAUCUUGUUCGUAAAAAAUUGUGCGAUUUGUGUGAAGUGUUAAACACUCGUCGGUUCUACUUGAAAAAGGAAUUAUAUAUUAACUGCAGUGUAACUGACGAGACGAAAUAUUGGAAAUAAAAGUGUCGGUGGUUUUGUGAUUUUUUUAGUGAUUUUUUGUGAUUUCCUUUAUUUGGAUUUUCAUCGUGGAUUGUGGAUUUCAAACGGUCAAUAAGACGGUGAGGUGGGCCCACGCGGGGGGCGAUGCUGGGCGGGGCGGCGGGGGGCGCCCGCUCCCGCCCGCCCGCUGACCUCCAGCAAGCAGGUGUAAGCAGGUUCCCGCUGUACUCGCUGUUCCCCACGCAAACAAGCAGACAAACCGUGCACAAAGUGUCGGAGAGCGUGGUGUCCCGGUCGCUGGCGCUGGGCGCGCCCACGCCACCGCCGCACUCGCCAUACUCCCCGCUGCCUCUCGACCUGCUCGCCUGUUCGCAGCGGCUACUUAUUGACAAGGAGGGCAACAAGAUGGAAGAUGGCAAGCUGGGCAAGGCGUGCCUGCCGGAGCUCUGCUGCCCUGGUGACCGGUCGGACGGCCACGUCAUGCAGCCGCUCACCAUCAAAACUGAGCAGGCCAAACGCACCUGCAAUACUUGCCUCACCAACUCACCUAAAAAGGUGGUGCAAGCGGAAGGCGGGUGCAGCCGCACCAACCCGGUCACGUGGCUGGGCGUUGGGCAGAACGUGCACGUGCAGGUGAAGCGCGAGCCGCACCACAUGCAUAUGUCGGAGCUGGUCGCCGUCAAGCUGGAGCAGGCCUCGCCCGGCACCAAGCCCGACCAGCCCAUGCCCGCCAUACCCGCCUCGCUCAACAACGUGUUCGUGACAGGUUCGAUUCCCGUGGGCAUAGCGGUGGCGCGGCAGCGCGUGGGCGACGCAGGCCUACUGGCCGCGCUCUCGCAGAAAGACAACCAGCGAUUACAUGACAUUGGCGCCACGUCAUUCGGUUUCUGUUCUCACACCGCAGACGCGGCGCAGGCGGCCAUGACGGUGGGCGUGGCCAACGUGCUGUGUGACGAGCGCCCCGCCCCACUGGCGUGGCCGGCGCCCGCGCCCGCUCCCCCCGCACCGCUCUGGCAGUACCCAGCUCAAGUGUCAAUGGAGAGCAUGAUGGUGGGCGGCAUGGGUGUUGGCGUGGGCUCCGUGGGCGGUGUGGGCGGAGGCGUCGGUGCGGUAGGCGGCUACCAGCUAGUGCGCGAGCCCACGUCGGGCGCGCUGCUACUACUGCCGGCGCCGCCCGAUUUGCCGCACACUGUGGUGUGGGGUGGCAUGCCCUACCCGCCAGCGCCGCUGCUGCUACCGCCUGCUCCGCACGCGCCGCAUCACCUGCAGCUGCUGCACGCGCCCGGAGAGCUGCUCGCCUCCACCGCCACGCUGCAGCACACGCACACGCACUCCACGCGGCUGGUGACGCUAGCGCCCGCGCCCGCACCGCAACCUCACCCCGCCCACACAGUGGACAAGCGCAAACCCAUCAUGCAGCCGCUUAUCACACCGCACGCACUCAUCAAGAUCGAGCCGGAGCCACCGCAGGAGAAGCCUCCGCCGACGUUCGCGCCGGAGCCGGUCCAGCAGCCGAUACUCACACAUCUCUACUAUCAGCCCGAGUUUCCGGAGCAAGCGUGCAGGAGCCAGGCCACCUCGCCCGCCGCGCCCCCCACUCCGCCCCCCGAUGCAGCCGAGGGCCCCGCGCACAAGGACGCUUCCAAUCAAACCGACCACAUAGAUGACUACGAGGAUUCCCCUAAUCACGCCGAUGAAGAUGAAAGAGAGGUGGCGUGUGUGGGAGUUGCACACUUUCCGGAAGAAUCAUCGUCACUCCAGCUGCAGGAGCACGGUCACCAGCUGCAGCCCCCUCCCAUAGACAGCGCAGAGGAGUCCUCCUCCGAGGCGCUUGCCAACUCGACGGUCGUAGGAGCAGUAGAGAAGGCUAUAAAUGCGAUAGAAAGAGAUGACUCGAUGGACAACUCGAGUAGUGGCGGCUCCCACGACUUGGUGAUCGACACGGCGGGCAGCUCGCCAGUACUGGCGGUGCAGCCCGCAGGCCCACUGUUACAGCCUGCCGGCCCGCUGGUCGACGUCAGCGGCCUCGAGCUAUUAUCCAACAGCAUUGAGCAGUUCGAAAGAACGACUCCGGGCAUCAGCUUGCCGACGUUAGAUCAGACGCCGCUAACUAUCGAUACGAGGCCGACGACCAAGUUAAACAUUAUGAUCAAAACUUCACCAAAAUCACCUCCCAGGACCGACGCGGAAUCGCACAGGAGAUUUGAAUUCCCGGUUGCCGAACCUAUAGCCGGUGAACGGACGAAACCUUCCUUAGAUGGUUUAGAUAUUUUAUGCGCGCUGGCAGAACAGAGGUUUAUGGAGGAAGUUGAGGAGAGUCCUCCUCCUGCCAUCCAAUUGCCAACUCGACCUUUUAUAAAAACUGAGCCGCUGCUGAGUCCCCCGCCGGUGGAGAGAUCCUCGGAAUCGAUCAAAAAAGACAAACAUAACAGACACAGGGACGAUUCUUCGAGUGAAAGGAGAAGAAAAAGGAGUCGAGACAGGGAGGAUAGGUUAAGGCAUAAGUUGGAAAAGAUGCGUCGCCACAAGCGGGAGAAGGACAGAGAAGGAGGGAAAGGUAACGGCGGAGAGUUGGAGGCGAGCCUGAGACGCGUGACGGCUUGCCCGUGCGGCUCGAUGACCUGCACUCACUCGUCCUCCGUGCCCUCCGCCCAAGCUCUCGUCAACGCUAUGGAGAAGGACAUGCGUGAACGUCUGCAGGACUUGCAGCGACAGUGCGACGAGAAGAGAGCGCAACUGAACGCCCUGACGCCGCCUCUCCCGGCGCUCUCCAAUCCACCCACGCCGUCCACGCCGGCGCUGUCCCCUAAUUCGGACAGAGGUUCUUCAAAGAAACGUAAGGUCGGCAGACCAAGAAAGGUUUCCAGUCCGGAUUCGACGGAGACUAUAGUCGCCAAGAAACCGAAAUCCAAGAGCAGUUUAGUUGGCUAUCUCUUGGCGAAAGGAAAGUUAAAAGGCGGUAUUUUAUGCAGUAGAGGAGAAGCUUCUAGAGACGAAACCAACAGAACGAGCAAAGUCCGACCUAAGUUGAAAGCGGAACCGAUACUUAAAGUAUACUCCGAGGAGGAGGAAGUGGACGGGGUCUUAAACAGAUCCGCCAGCUCCUCGAUGGAGAGUCUGAAUGAGGUGCGACAGAAGAACCGGGAAAAAGUGGACCGUCUGGUCAGAAAACAUUCAAGAGACGAUUUACCUGAAAUAGAGCUGGCGAUACGGAGAGUGAGCGCGUCCAGCGAAAGUGAUAAAGAACGACGUCGCGCGAAGAAGAGGAGAAAGAGUCUCAAAUCAAAGGAGAGGCCGAGCGAGAGCUCUAAGGAGGAGAGUGCGCAGGCGCCAGUGGUGUCGCGGUGCACGCUCACCGAGGACAAGCUGGACUCGUCACCGCGCGUGCUGACCGCCAUGGGCGGGCUGUUUUACGCCGGCAAGCUGAGCGCGGUGCAGGCGCCUGACGUGUACGCCAUCACGCUGGACGGGGAGAGAGGCAACAAGCCCCACAUCUUGUCCAGGGAAGAGACUCUAAGAGAUGCUAUUCUGGAAGUGAGUCCUCGCUCUGUGUCUGAGCUGGGUUCGGGCACGCGGGUGUGCGCGUACUGGUCGCAGCAGUACCGCUGCCUGUACCCGGGCACGGUGGCGCUUGCCUCCCCCGACCCGCGCCACGACCACCUCGUGCCUGUUGAGUUUGACGACGGCGACUCCGGUCGCAUCGCUCUAGAGGACAUACGCUUCCUCGAACCCAACUAUCCUAUUGUUGAGUACGAGAACACUCUAUUUACACUCGGUAAGCGAAGAAGAAACACAAGUGUUACAGAAGAUAAAAAGGCAGUCGUCCCAUCGACUAGUACAGAAGUUAAAACUGAACCGGCACCCGUGCCGCAGACGGUGACCGAAGAGAAAGCGGAGGAAGAGGAUCGACACAGAGAUAGGAAGAAACUUAAAAAACAUCGAAAGGAAAAACUUAAACGUCUCCAUUCCAGUGAAGAAGAUCCAAACUCCACCGAAUAUGUAAAGAAGAAAAAGAAGAAACACAAGUGUUGCGAGGAGCACUGCAAACACAGAAGACAUCAUAAGAAACAUCACAGGAAACACAAGAAGCGACAUCAUUCUAGUUGCAAGGAACAUUCCAGUUCGUCGGGCGACGAUCACCACAAGAGAAAGUCUUCCACAGAUUAUGUCGAUUCUAUUAAAUCUAACGAGGACUCCGGAGACUCCAAUGACAGGCUGUCCACUCUGAUAGCGGUCGAAAAGUCUCCCGACGACAAAAUGAAGACGGUCAUUAAGAAAGCAGUCUUGUCAAAGAAAACUCUUGUAAAGAACGCAAUUUUAGACUUUAGCAAUCUCGGAAAAAUUACUCUGAAAAAAGACGAUGAUGUUAAAGACAAUCUAAAAGACAGUGGGAUUGGACUGGAAGUGGAUGUGCCGUCUACUUCGAUGGAUGCACCUAAAAAGAAAACUAAAAAGCGCACGGUGUCGUCCACAUCGACGGACAGUGGUGCUGCAUGUGGGGGCGGCGGGGGUGGGGCCGGGGUGAGCAAGAUGGCCGCGUUCUUGCCGGGCGGCGCGCUGUGGCGCUGGCUCGGUCCCGCCUACCGGCGCACCGCGCGUCCCCGUCACCGCAAGCUCUUCUACCGCGCCAUACAACGCGGCGAGGAGACUCUGCAUGUGGGCGAAGCAGCAGUGUUCCUGUCAACGGGGCGCGCAGACCGACCGUACAUCGGUCGCAUAGUGGCGCUGUGGGAGGCGCGCGGCGCUAUGGCUGUGCGCGUCGAGUGGUUCUACCACCCCGAGGAGACCGUCGGCUGCCGCGGUCCGCUCAAGUACCCGGGCGGUCUGUUCGAGUCUCCGCACACAGACGAGAAUGACGUGCAGACGAUAUCACACAAGUGCGAGGUGGUGCCGCUGGCGGAGUACCAGGCGCGCAUGGCCGCGGAAGCGCGCUCUGCCGACGACAAUAAUGACCUCUACUACUUGGCCGGUCGCUAUGAGCCCACGCAGCGCGCGCUCUCCAUGCAGCCCGACGUGCCCUUCGCCGAUGAUCCCGCGCCAUAGUCCUCUCAUGUGCGCCUGGUACAUACAUGCUCAUGAGACUUUCAAUCUUACCACAAGAAGGACUUUCUUUACUGUAACUUUGACCAGGUCUAAAAAGUUCGCAUAGUAUUUUUUAUUAUAAUGCAACCGCAAAAAAAGUCAACUUAAAUUGUAGGGAUAUUUUGGUCAUUGCUCUGAUUUAUUGAGAAAAUAUUUAUUCAUAUUUUCUACUUGAACAACGUUUUUAUGUGUAGUUUUGACAAAAUAACAAGAUGAUUUUGUCGAUCCCAGAGAGAUUACAAUUCUAACAUUUAUUAUACACACUUAAAAGAAGUACAUUUAAGCUCUUAGGUAUAUUUAUAUUGUUCUAUAUUGAACUGACGAAAUGUUUUUAACAAGCGAUAAUUUAGAAAUGAUAUAAGAUUCACUUUUAUCUAUAAAAAUGUACAAACAGUACAGUGGGUUUUGACUGAAGCACUUUCGACACAUUUUGCCAUCACUUACAGUCUCUAUGAAAAAAUAGAGACAAAAGAUACUGCAGUUAAAAUCCAUUGUAAAACAUAGUGAUGUUCUGUUUAUCGCACUCUCUUCACGUCGUGUUGUAUCCAUAUAGUAUUGUCUCUCGGUGUUAGGGUAGCGAUAGCCGCCAUUCCCCGUAGCCGUGUAGCAAGGACCCUUAUAUACAGGUUUAUAAAGUACAAUUGUAGAUCGUGAGGCUCAAUACUACGACACUGCCCUAACUGGGGCAUAAAGUUAUAUUGCACCAACUGGGGCAUAAAGUACAUUGCACCAGCUGGGGUAAAAAGAUACGUUGCACCCGCUGGGGCAUAAAUUUUGAUAGCAGUAGCUGGGGCAUAAAGGUACGCUGCCCCAGUUGGGGCGUAGAGGUACAUUAAGUUAUAGUUACCCUUGUUACGUUAUGAUUGGGGCGUUAUUGUGGUUGUUGUGUUGUGUUGUUUGCCAGUUUCAAUUGGCGAUGUUGUCGAGACGCGGAGUUGUGAUCGAGGGAGUUGGUGAUAUGUGAUUUAUUUUUUAAUAACCUAGUUCUUAAUGUCAGUACGUAGUUGGUUUAGUACUUUUUUGUAUAUUUAAUUGUAGCAUUGUAACUGCGUAGUUUACUUCGGUUAUAUCUAAACUGCAAUACUGUUUCGACUAGUCCGUUUAUUAAUUGCAAAUGACCAGUGUUACAUUGGGGAGGGAUUGGCUUACGGAAAUGCAAAUUAUUUAGGGGGCGAAAUGUUUUGUUAUAUUAUUGUUUUAUUCGAUGAUUCUUCUUAUAUUUUCGGUUGAUAAUUUUAUGUUUGAGGUAUACAAUUUAUAUGGAAAUGGUGCUAGAAAGCUUGAUAUUGCUUUAUUUCGGCGUAGUUAAUAUUGUACAUACACAAUACGGCCGGUGCACUAAGGUUGCCAUUUUUUUCUACUUGAUUAAUCUUCUUAGCGUAUAAUUUACAGGGUACUAUGGACCCUGCUGGUAAUGUUUUUCAUAUCAGGAUGUAAAUAAAGGUACUGAAAAGACAGGGAUAUAGAUAGGUCGGGCAAGGAUAGAUAGGUUUUGUACGAGGCGUUGCCAAAAGUGUCUGAUAGAAAACUGAAGGAAUGAUCCCGCGCCACUCGAAUGUUGCUGACUGUACGUGUUAUAAGGUACACUCACCGACAGAUAAAUGUAAGCAUACCAAACUUUUUAAUCGCUCGAUUUAAAAAAUUACUUUACUGGUAGUUUUAAAAGUCUUAAAAAAUGUUAAUGUAGGUUUUUAAUACGUUGAACAAUCACUUAGUUAGGACUUAGUUCAUCAAAAAAGCACGAUAUCAUUAGAGUUUUUUUUAAAUUAUGUUUUGUAUGUUUAAAAGUGUUUACAAUAUUUUGUCGCUGAGUGUACCUUUAUAUUAAGCAUAGUGAGGUGACUUUAUAAGUACAUUUCUGUUGUGAAUAGUUUACGUACCCGUACUCUAACAUUGUUUGCCCGCAUUGUACUUUUUUGUUAUCGAAUUGCUUUACUAUUAAGUUACAAUAAGUUCUAGUUUUAAGACCUUUUUAAUUUUUAUAUACAAAAAAAAUAUAUAUCGAAAACUCUAAAUCUUGAAAUUAAAUUUGGAUACAAGAUACGAAAAAAAAAUUACAAAAAAUUUCGAAAAGAUAUUCAAGAGUAUUUUUGUAUUAUUAUAAAGUAGCGUUUAUUUUCAAAUAUCUGAUGCGAAGCGAAAGUACAAAUGUUUGUGGUUUGUACGUAAAUGGCUGAAAUGUUACAGUCGAUGUCAAAAUAUAAGUAGCGACGUUAAAUGAUUGAAAGCCAUAAAAAUAAUUAUUAGAUUUAAAGAUUAAUAAUAUAUCAAGCAUUGAUAAUAUAAAGAUUAUAAAUACGCUUAAA
RNA transcript from Papilio xuthus (Asian swallowtail), 7790 nucleotides. It is a transcript of the gene named BAH domain and coiled-coil containing protein winged eye, with no coding region annotated. The transcript is spliced from 15 exons. The record is from RefSeq and is a predicted model, not a curated record. Lineage: Eukaryota; Metazoa; Arthropoda; Insecta; Lepidoptera; Papilionidae.